This 652-nucleotide long non-coding RNA is filed under the name Sinocyclocheilus rhinocerous. RNAcentral describes it as "lncRNA (ENSSRHG00000036275.1)". The record is from RNAcentral. Lineage: Eukaryota; Metazoa; Chordata; Actinopteri; Cypriniformes; Cyprinidae.
GGCGGUUCCUUGGUGGUCCCCUGAGGAUCUCAGGACAGAUAAUGUGUGCUCUGUGAAUUGAACACAAAAUAGUUCUUCAGUUUUAGAUUUAUUUAAAUGCUGUGAAUGUGUUUCAGAUUUCCUUUAUCCCUGAUUAUGCUCUUUUAGCUUGUGUUAGGUUGAUCCACACACCAGCCGUCUCCGUGAUGCUCUCUGAGACAUACGCUCUGGAGCGGAGAAAGGUGGAGGAGGGGAGUUGCUCUUGUAAUUGAGCAGAGAGUGCUGCUCGAUGAGAGAGAGAGAGGAGAGACGGAUGAGGAGGGAGAAGAGAGAAGGACAAUAACGAGAGAAAGGAGUUUGGGUGGACGGGGAGAGAGGAGGGGUAUUUUUUUAUUAUUAUGGUUGAUUUGGUUCAUCGAAGGUCAGCAGCAAAGACACUGGUUAAUAAAAUGGUAUUAAAUACAGAGUAUAUUUGUGUUAUUUAACAUUUAAUUAUUGCAGGUUUGUAUAAUGAGUUUGCGUUUCACUGUUUUUAAUGUAGAGGACUACUGUGUUUGUGUGCAGCGAGAUGAGUAAACACAUGUUCAUAUUUAGUCUAGAACUACAGUUACAGUAAGAUCAUGUUCAAACACAACGCUCUGCACUUACUCCUGAUUUCUGUCACCAUGGCAAC